GUGGGGAAUUGUUCGCAAUGGGCGCAAGCCUGACGACGCAACGCCGCGUGGAGGAUGAAGAUCUUCGGGUCGUAAACUCCUUUCGAUCGAGACGAAUGAUCUCCGGGUGAACAAUCCGGAGAAAUGACGGUACCGAGAGAAGAAGCCCCGGCUAACUCCGUGCCAGCAGCCGCGGUAAUACGGGGGGGGCAAGCGUUGUUCGGAAUUACUGGGCGUAAAGGGCUUGUAGGUGGCCAACUAAGUCAGACGUGAAAUCCCUCGGCUUAACCGGGGAACUGCGUCUGAUACUGGAUGGCUAGAGUGUGGGAGAGGGAUGCGGAAUUCCAGGUGUAGCGGUGAAAUGCGUAGAUAUCUGGAGGAACACCGGUGGCGAAGGCGGCAUCCUGGACCAUUACUGACACUGAAAAGCGAAAGCCAGGGGAGCAAACGGGAUUAGAUACCCUUGUAGUCC
Molecule: ribosomal RNA, 451 nt
Filed under: uncultured bacterium
Lineage: Bacteria
Description: bacterial SSU rRNA
Rfam family: Bacterial small subunit ribosomal RNA
Source: RNAcentral